Molecule: ribosomal RNA, 253 nt
Filed under: uncultured bacterium
Lineage: Bacteria
Description: partial 16S ribosomal RNA
Rfam family: Bacterial small subunit ribosomal RNA
Source: RNAcentral
UACGGAGGGUGCAAACGUUGCUCGGAAUUAUUGGGCGUAAAGCGCACGUAGGCGGUCUGUUAAGUCGGAUGUGAAAGCCCUGGGCUCAACCCAGGAAGUGCAUUCGAAACUGGCGGGCUUGAAUAUGGAAGAGGGUCGCGGAAUUCCCGGUGUAGAGGUGAAAUUCGUAGAUAUCGGGAGGAACACCAGUGGCGAAGGCGGCGACCUGGGCCAAUAUUGACGCUGAGGUGCGAAAGCGUGGGGAGCAAACAGG